This 398-nucleotide ribosomal RNA is filed under the name uncultured bacterium. Its description in RNAcentral is "bacterial SSU rRNA". It matches the Rfam family "Bacterial small subunit ribosomal RNA", at positions 28 to 410 of the family's 1533-position model. The record is from RNAcentral.
GACGAACGCUGGCGGCGUGCCUAAUACAUGCAAGUAGAACGCUGACUACUUUAGCUUGCUAGAGUAGAAGGAGUUGCGAACGGGUGAGUAAACGCGUAGGUAACCUGCCUACUAGCGGGGGAUAACUAUUGGAACGGAUAGCUAAUACCGCAUAACAGUGUUAACACAUGUUAGAUGCUUGAAGGAUGCAAUUGCAUCACUAGUAGACUGGACCUGCGUUGUAUUAGCUAGUUGGUGGGGUAACGGGCCCACCAAGGCGACGAUACAUAGCCGACCUGAGAGGGUGAUCGGGCCACACUGAGACUGAGACACGGUCCAGGACUCCUACGGGAGGCAGCAGUAGGGAAUCUUCGGCAAUGGGGGCGAAACCCUGACCGAGCAACGCCGCGUGAGUGAAG